UAUAUUCAUAUUAUGCGAUGGUUAGAAUUCAACUAAACCCUGACCUGCCCUGAUUAAACCGGUAACGCCGCUACAUUGACAGGUGUUACCCGCUCAUAAAGGAAUUUUUAGGUUAGCCACCGUUUCGCGCGCAUUUUGGCAGUCAACCUUCUGGUUGAUUUCUAUUUUGUGAAGUGAACUAUAAACGUAAACGUGCUUCAUCCAAACUAUUUUAAUAAAAAAUGAUUAAAACACUGAGAUAACGUAAAGAUAAGUGAUGCAAAUAAUUAUUUUAAGGAUAGAAUCGGUAAAAUAGUUCUUGUUAUGUUUGUGUUUUCAGUAUCUAUUUUAAGGUGAGUGAAUUUAAAACCAUGAGACCUCGAAAAAAAAAAGGUUACACUAAAAAAUAUUUUAAAAUUCAGCCAAAAAAAAAGGAGCCAAAAUCUUAUUAAGUCAAUGUUACGCAAAUAUGACUUCAAUAUUGUACAUUAAACUGGAUUCAGACCAAAGUGAUUUUUUAUUAUCCUCUGUACAUCAUCAAAGUAGGUAGUAGUAUCUCUGGUAGUAUCAUUGAAGAUUUCUGUUCUGAUAAGUGUAGUUCCAGUGCUGAAAUUUCUUACAAUAUAGUAUUUAUAUAGGUAUUUAUGUAGGCUCUUCUAUAAUCAUUUAUUGUGUAUUUUUUAAGAGAAAGGUAUUUUUUAGAAUUAUUAGGUUCGAGAAUUAUCUAGACUUGGCGGUUCAGGAGUAGCACAAAGUACAAGGAAAAUGCUUUAUAAGGUUCUGGGCAAUGAAAUUGCACAAAAAUAUUCUUAGGAUGGGGCCAAACAGAAGAGAAGUUUGAAAUCAUUGUUAGUGGCCAAAAGCAAUUUUAGACUCCAUGAAAGGUCAAUUUCAAGAGUCAAAAGAAACCGAAAUUAUCAAUAUAAUUAAAAUAUGGCUUGUAAAAACAAAAGAAAGAUUAAAAAUACCAAGAAGGGUAGACAAGAGAAUAUAGAAACAUAGACAUAGAAGAUAAUAUCAAUGUAUAUCGUUAUAUUAAAAUAUUUUUAAUUAAUAAACAUAUAUUACUCAAGUUCGUCUUUAUCCUUACCUAUUAUUUUUAACCGUUCUAUUUAUUAGUUAAUUUUUGAUUAUUACACACCAAAUUAUUUAAUUUCAGCAAAUUGUUUGUAGUGUGUUCCAGAUAUGAAUGUACUGUAUAGGUAUCCUAUAGAUUUUAAGAGAUAAAAAAAUUGCUAAAUAUGAAAAAAAUUGUAUCUAUAUCUAUAGUUUAUAGGAUAUUGAUACAGGGCAUCCUUAUACAGGACACCCAGUAGAUACAGAGUUGAGGGUUGGAAUCUUUGGUGUUACAACAGCAAAUUAAAACACUAAUUCACCACAAUAUACCAAAACACUUUACUUUUGAACUGGACGCUUGUUUGGUUAAUCAU
Long non-coding RNA from Sitophilus oryzae (rice weevil), 1409 nucleotides. RefSeq lists it as uncharacterized. The record is from RefSeq and is a predicted model, not a curated record. NCBI's taxonomy places the organism in Eukaryota, Metazoa, Arthropoda, Insecta, Coleoptera, Curculionidae. The transcript is spliced from 3 exons.